CCGUUCAACUCGUCCCUGCGAGACAGGGACUACGGGAG
This 38-nucleotide non-coding RNA is filed under the name unclassified sequences. RNAcentral describes it as "THF-II sequence". It matches the Rfam family "THF-II riboswitch (folE RNA)". The record is from RNAcentral.